GCCUGGGUGGCUCAGUGGUUGAGCGUCUGCCUUUGGCUCAGGACAUGAUCCCAGAUCUGGGAUCGAAUCCCACAUCGGGCU
RNAcentral lists this transfer RNA (81 nucleotides) under Canis lupus familiaris (dog). It matches the Rfam family "tRNA". Rfam says of the family: Transfer RNA (tRNA) molecules are approximately 80 nucleotides in length. Lineage: Eukaryota; Metazoa; Chordata; Mammalia; Carnivora; Canidae. RNAcentral also lists the same sequence under 1 other name. The record is from Rfam by way of RNAcentral.